RNAcentral lists this ribosomal RNA (426 nucleotides) under uncultured bacterium. RNAcentral describes it as "bacterial SSU rRNA". It matches the Rfam family "Bacterial small subunit ribosomal RNA", at positions 354 to 796 of the family's 1533-position model. The record is from RNAcentral.
GUGAGGAAUUUUCCGCAAUGGGCGAAAGCCUGACGGAGCAAUGCCGCGUGAAGGAUGAAGGCCUAUGGGUUGUAAACUUCUUUUCUCAGAAAAGAAUUAUGACGGUAUCUGAGGAAUAAGCAUCGGCUAACUCUGUGCCAGCAGCCGCGGUAAGACAGAGGAUGCAAGCGUUAUCCGGAAUGAUUGGGCGUAAAGCGUCUGUAGGUUGUUUAAAAAGUAUUCUGUCAAAGAUUAGGGCUUAACCCUAGAUAGGCAGAAUAAACUUUUAAGCUAGAGUUUGGUAGAGGCAGAGGGAAUUCCCGGUGGAGCGGUGAAAUGCGUAGAUAACGGGAGGAACACCAAAGGCGAAGGCACUCUGCUGGGCCAAUACUAACACUGAGAGACGAAAGCGAGGGGAGCAAAUGGGAUUAGAAACCCCAGUAGUCC